Octopus sinensis (East Asian common octopus) is the source of this 1037-nucleotide long non-coding RNA. RefSeq lists it as uncharacterized. The record is from RefSeq and is a predicted model, not a curated record. Lineage: Eukaryota; Metazoa; Mollusca; Cephalopoda; Octopoda; Octopodidae. The transcript is spliced from 3 exons.
UAUAUAUAUAUAUAUCCGAAAUCAUUAACUUUAUGUGAAAUCUGAGCUGAACAAAAUUUUUUUAUAUACACAGCAACAUAACUUUAUACCAGGCGUUGCUUUAUAUCUAGUAAGUAUUCUUAAUCCAGUAACAACUACCAUCAUCAUCAUCUGCACUCUCAUCAGGAGCAGCAAUAGUAAAUGAUGCGAUAUUUGUUUACACCAAUAUUAUUAUUAGUGUAAGUAUUAGUAUUUCAUCAGUGUGCUACCUACCAUUGAACUAGAUGUAUCCCCAACCUUACUAGGGUUAGUCUGUGAAAGGUUGUCUUUUAAAGUGUGUGUGCAUGUGUGUGUUCUAUUCUAGUUGUUCUCAAUAACCAAUUCUAAUUCCUCUACUCUCUAUCUGAUAAACAGCUUCCACUGUAUAGGUAUACAUAGAGAGAGAGAGAGAGAGAGAGAGAGAGAGAGGGAAGGAGAAAAAGGUAAAUGAAUAGAUAGAUAAGAUACAGUCAGGUAAAUGGAUAGACAUUGGCAGAUAGAUAGAUGGAUAGAUAGAUAGAUACUGGAGAUAUUCCACAGUUAUGUGGUUGUAGUGCUGAUACCAGAAAUGUUUUUCUAGUGCUGAAAUUGUUGAAGUUUUCUCAUUAAAUGGAUGCGACAAUCUCCAAGGUAACCCACAAGGGGAUGGUCACAAGUAUUUACCUGCUGUGUAUUCUAUAAUUACGCCUGAAUUAUUAUUAUUUUAUUUUCCUCUUCCUAUCUGAAGUGGUUACUGUUUUCUUUCUGCUUUACCAUCAGUAAACUGACUUUUCCCUGCCAAAUUACUUUCUACUGAAAUGAAAAUCUAGUCAACCACUCUUCCUACCCACUUCUCACUCACAUAUUGUUACCAGCAAAGAGCUUCUAUGUGCUAGAUGAAUUGCUAGAAAUAACAGAUAAAUUUUCUCAAAUGAUAUCCUAGCAUCUUAAGAAAGGAAGGUUACAUUGGAUAAGGUAAUCCCUGGAAGUUUUUUUGUGCUGACUUGAAGCUAAAGCCUAGCGGUCAGUUAAAUCAAUUA